This 492-nucleotide ribosomal RNA is filed under the name uncultured bacterium. RNAcentral's name for it is "partial 16S ribosomal RNA". It matches the Rfam family "Bacterial small subunit ribosomal RNA", at positions 29 to 507 of the family's 1533-position model. The record is from RNAcentral.
AGUGAACGCUGGCGGUAGGCCUAACACAUGCAAGUCGAACGGCAGCACAGUAAGAGCUUGCUCUUACGGGUGGCGAGUGGCGGACGGGUGAGGAAUACAUCGGAAUCUACUUUUUCGUGGGUGAUAACGUAGGGAAACUUACGCUAAUACCGCAUACGACCUACGGGUGAAAGCAGGGGAUCUUCGGACCUUGCGCGAUUCAAUGAGCCGAUGUCGGAUUAGCUAGUUGGCGGGGUAAAGGCCCACCAAGGCGACGAUCCGUAGCUGGUCUGAGAGGAUGAUCAGCCACACUGGAACUGAGACACGGUCCAGACUCCUACGGGAGGCAGCAGUGGGGAAUAUUGGACAAUGGGCGCAAGCCUGAUCCAGCAAUACCGCGUGGGUGAAGAAGGCCUUCGGGUUGUAAAGCCCUUUUGUUGGGAAAGAAAAGCAGCAGGUUAAUACCCCGCUGUUCUGACGGUACCCAAAGAAUAAGCACCGGCUAACUUCGUG